CCCUUAGAUGUUCUGGGCCGCACGCGCGCUACACUGACGGAUUCAACGAGCUUACAACCUUGGCCGAAAGGUCUGGGUAAUCUUCAAAAUCCGUCGUGAUGGGGAUAGAUUAUUGCAAUUAUUAAUCUUCAACGAGGAAUUCCCAGUAAGCGCGAGUCAUCAGCUCGCGUUGAUUACGUCCCUGCCCUUUGUACACACCGCCCGUCGCUACUACCGAUUGGAUGGUUUAGUGAGACCCUCGGAUCGGUCCCGACUCGGGGUGGGCUUCUGCCCCGGUCGUGGUUUCGCCGAGAAGACGGUCAAACUUGACUAUCUAGAGGAAGUAAAAGUCGUAACA
RNAcentral lists this ribosomal RNA (337 nucleotides) under uncultured eukaryote. RNAcentral's name for it is "partial 18S ribosomal RNA". It matches the Rfam family "Eukaryotic small subunit ribosomal RNA", at positions 1470 to 1796 of the family's 1831-position model. The record is from RNAcentral.